GCGCGGUUAGCUCAGCUGGCUAGAGCACCACCUUGACACGGUGGGGGUCACAAGUUCAAGUCUUGUACCGCGCACCA
RNAcentral lists this transfer RNA (77 nucleotides) under Verrucomicrobiales bacterium. Its description in RNAcentral is "tRNA-Val". It matches the Rfam family "tRNA". From Rfam's summary of the family: Transfer RNA (tRNA) molecules are approximately 80 nucleotides in length. Their secondary structure includes four short double-helical elements and three loops (D, anti-codon, and T loops). Further hydrogen bonds mediate the characteristic L-shaped molecular structure. tRNAs have two regions of fundamental functional importance: the anti-codon, which is responsible for specific mRNA codon recognition, and the 3' end, to which the tRNAs corresponding amino acid is attached (by aminoacyl-tRNA synthetases). tRNAs cope with the degeneracy of the genetic code in two manners: having more than one tRNA (with a specific anti-codon) for a particular amino acid; and 'wobble' base-pairing, i.e. permitting non-standard base-pairing at the 3rd anti-codon position. The record is from RNAcentral. Lineage: Bacteria; Pseudomonadati; Verrucomicrobiota; Verrucomicrobiia; Verrucomicrobiales.